This 253-nucleotide ribosomal RNA is filed under the name uncultured bacterium. Its description in RNAcentral is "partial 16S ribosomal RNA". It matches the Rfam family "Bacterial small subunit ribosomal RNA", at positions 524 to 776 of the family's 1533-position model. The record is from RNAcentral.
UACGUAGGUGGCAAGCGUUGUCCGGAAUUAUUGGGCGUAAAGGGCUCGUAGGCGGUCCAUCGCGUCGGGAGUGAAAAGCUGGGGCUCAACCCCAGUCCUGCUUUCGAUACGGGUGGACUAGAGGUAUGCAGGGGAGAACGGAAUUCCUGGUGUAGCGGUGAAAUGCGCAGAUAUCAGGAGGAACACCGGUGGCGAAGGCGGCAUCCUGGACCAUUACUGACGCUGAGGCGCGAAAGCUAGGGGAGCAAACGGG